CAGUCGAGCGAACGGAUAAGGAGCUUGCUCCUUUGAAGUUAGCGGCGGACGGGUGAGUAACACGUGGGUAACCUACCUAUAAGACUGGAAUAACUUCGGGAAACCGGAGCUAAUGCCGGAUAACAUUUGGAACCGCAUGGUUCUAAAGUAAAAGAUGGUUUUGCUAUCACUUAUAGAUGGACCCGCGCCGUAUUAGCUAGUUGGUAAGGUAACGGCUUACCAAGGCAACGAUACGUAGCCGACCUGAGAGGGUGAUCGGCCACACUGGAACUGAGACACGGUCCAGACUCCUACGGGAGGCAGCAGUAGGGAAUCUUCCGCAAUGGACGAAAGUCUGACGGAGCAACGCCGCGUGAGUGAUGAAGGUUUUCGGAUCGUAAAACUCUGUUAUUAGGGAAGAACAAAUGUGUAAGUAACUGUGCACAUCUUGACGGUACCUAAUCAGAAAGCCACGGCUAACUACGUGCCAGCAGCCGCGGUAAUACGUAGGUGGCAAGCGUUAUCCGGAAUUAUUGGGCGUAAAGCGCGCGUAGGCGGUUUCUUAAGUCUGAUGUGAAAGCCCACGGCUCAACCGUGGAGGGUCAUUGGAAACUGGGAAACUUGAGUACAGAAGAGGAAAGUGGAAUUCCAUGUGUAGCGGUGAAAUGCGCAGAGAUAUGGAGGAACACCAGUGGCGACGCGACUUUCUGGUCUGUAACUGACGCUGAUGUGCGAAAGCGUGGGGAUCAAACAGGAUUAGAUACCCUGGUAGUCCACGCCGUAACGAUGA
RNAcentral lists this ribosomal RNA (769 nucleotides) under Staphylococcus equorum. RNAcentral describes it as "bacterial SSU rRNA". It matches the Rfam family "Bacterial small subunit ribosomal RNA", at positions 59 to 812 of the family's 1533-position model. Lineage: Bacteria; Bacillati; Bacillota; Bacilli; Caryophanales; Staphylococcaceae. The record is from RNAcentral.